RNAcentral lists this transfer RNA (57 nucleotides) under Thalassiosira minuscula. Its description in RNAcentral is "partial tRNA". It matches the Rfam family "tRNA", at positions 8 to 57 of the family's 71-position model. Rfam says of the family: Transfer RNA (tRNA) molecules are approximately 80 nucleotides in length. Their secondary structure includes four short double-helical elements and three loops (D, anti-codon, and T loops). Lineage: Eukaryota; Bacillariophyta; Thalassiosirophyceae; Thalassiosirales; Thalassiosiraceae. The record is from RNAcentral.
GGCCUUAGCUCAGCUGGGAGAGCGCCUGAUUUGCAUUCAGGAGGUCAGCGGUUAAAA